Felis catus (domestic cat) is the source of this 571-nucleotide long non-coding RNA. RefSeq lists it as uncharacterized. The record is from RefSeq and is a predicted model, not a curated record. NCBI's taxonomy places the organism in Eukaryota, Metazoa, Chordata, Mammalia, Carnivora, Felidae. The transcript has 3 exons.
CCUUCCGGGACAUUGGGCAACGUCUGGAGAGAUUUGUGAUCGACACAAGAGUGACGGGGACCACUACUGGCAUCUAGUGGGUAGAGUCCACAACAGCAGCCUCUGGCCACGACGGGAGAGAGGGACUCAAUGCCAGACAGUGACUGCCCGGACCAGGGGUGAAGGCUACCAGGUUCACACCAGGGUCCAUCGGCGAUGCCCGCCACGGGAGCUGUGCCAUCCACCGUCUGUUCUGAACAAAGUUCGUUUCUCCUUCUUUGGGCAAAAGGCAGGGCUGAGAGAGAGGACAGUGGUCAUGACUCCACGGUUUACCGAGAGGCUCCACGAAGCACACGCAUAGGGUUAAAGCACGCUGGAAGCUGGGCUGCACAAACCUUGAGCUAUCCACCAUACGAACUGCCCAGAAACUCCCAUCCCCGCAGAUUCCAGUGCAAAUAACAGAAACGGGAAGCAGUCACGGGUCAAGACGAGGCAGGGUGAACUGUGCGUGCUAUGUCUCUGCAGCCGUGCCCGACGCUCACAGAAGGCAGACCCCAGAAGACACACAACCCCACGGGGCCGGGCGUUCAGG